UAGCGCCUCGUGAACUCAUCUCCGGGGGUAGAGCACUGUUUCGGCUAGGGGGCCAUCCCGGCUUACCAACCCGAUGCAAACUGCGAAUACCGGAGAAUGUUAUCACGGGAGACACACGGCGGGUGCUAACGUCCGUCGUGAAGAGGGAAACAACCCAGACCGCCAGCUAAGGUCCCAAAGUCAUGGUUAAGUGGGAAACGAUGUGGGAAGGCCCAGACAGCCAGGAUGUUGGCUUAGAAGCAGCCAUCAUUUAAAGAAAGCGUAAUAGCUCACUGGUCGAGUCGGCCUGCGCGGAAGAUGUAACGGGGCUAAACCAU
This 317-nucleotide ribosomal RNA is filed under the name Salmonella enterica subsp. enterica. Its description in RNAcentral is "partial 23S ribosomal RNA". It matches the Rfam family "Bacterial large subunit ribosomal RNA", at positions 875 to 1190 of the family's 2925-position model. Lineage: Bacteria; Pseudomonadati; Pseudomonadota; Gammaproteobacteria; Enterobacterales; Enterobacteriaceae. The record is from RNAcentral. RNAcentral also lists the same sequence under 1 other name.